This 73-nucleotide transfer RNA is filed under the name Mus musculus (house mouse). Its description in RNAcentral is "tRNA-Lys (CTT) (tRNA-Lys-CTT-10-1, tRNA-Lys-CTT-11-1, tRNA-Lys-CTT-12-1, tRNA-Lys-CTT-13-1)". It matches the Rfam family "tRNA". Rfam says of the family: Transfer RNA (tRNA) molecules are approximately 80 nucleotides in length. Their secondary structure includes four short double-helical elements and three loops (D, anti-codon, and T loops). Further hydrogen bonds mediate the characteristic L-shaped molecular structure. tRNAs have two regions of fundamental functional importance: the anti-codon, which is responsible for specific mRNA codon recognition, and the 3' end, to which the tRNAs corresponding amino acid is attached (by aminoacyl-tRNA synthetases). tRNAs cope with the degeneracy of the genetic code in two manners: having more than one tRNA (with a specific anti-codon) for a particular amino acid; and 'wobble' base-pairing, i.e. permitting non-standard base-pairing at the 3rd anti-codon position. Lineage: Eukaryota; Metazoa; Chordata; Mammalia; Rodentia; Muridae. RNAcentral also lists the same sequence under 4 other names. The record is from Rfam by way of RNAcentral.
GCCCAGCUAGCUCAGUCUGUAGAGCAUGAGACUCUUAGUCUCAGGGUCAUGGGUUGGAGCCCCAUGUUGUGCA